GCCGGAAUUGCUAGUAAUGGCAGGUCAGCAUACUGCCGUGAAUACGUUCCCGGGCCUUGUACACACCGCCCGUCACACCAUGAGAGUUGGGGAUACCCAAGGCCCGUGAGCCAACUUUUAGAGGCAGCGGUCUAAGGUAGAAUCAAUGAUUGGGGUGAAGUCGUAACAAGGUAAC
RNAcentral lists this ribosomal RNA (175 nucleotides) under uncultured bacterium. RNAcentral describes it as "partial 16S ribosomal RNA". It matches the Rfam family "Bacterial small subunit ribosomal RNA", at positions 1325 to 1500 of the family's 1533-position model. The record is from RNAcentral.